CAUCUGUUAUCCCACACCACUUCUGGAGCCCAUGGGCACACUGUGACCCUUCAGCGAUAAAUCAGCACUGUGCCGGUCCUCAGCUGCAGGUAGUUAAGAAGGCUUGAUUGUCUUUUUAUCCACCAUGCUGCCCUGCUGCAGGAUGAUGGAGUUCCAUGGCAGGGGAAGGUUGAUCCUAGUCCCCUUUGGAGCUAACAGGAGUCUUAGGAAACUCUUACCAGAAUUCCAGAUUCUUCCUUUAUAACUGCACUGUGGACUGUGAGGAAUGGUAGAGCAGUACUUCUGGGACUGAACGGUGAUGUGGAAGGACGGAAAUGCAAGACAAAGAGGAUAUUUUGUGAGAAAAAAACUCUUCAGAGAAACCAUCUGCCAUCUGUGUACAACAAAAGGAAGACAAUCCUUAGAGUUGAAUGUUACAAAACAAAAACAUAAUGCAACGUAUAAAGCUAUUUUUUUCCUGUUCUCUUCCAGCUGCUAAUCUUUGUCAAAAAAUGUCUGAAGCUGUUGCUCUGAGGAAUUGUCUUAGCAUUGAUACUGAAGAAGACAUUUACGAGGGAUGGGAGAAGAGACCCCAAAGAGUCACUGUAAUUGUAGCACAGGAGAGAGAGAAAGCUAGAUGCUUGUGUCCUCUACUCUUCCUCCGAGUUUAUAAAACAAGCCUUUGAAAUAUGUUACCCUUCCUUCUGUCCUGUGGUGUCCCUGAAGACAAGGAAACUUUUUCUGACCAGAGGAUUACAGAAACCACGGACCGUUUGUGAAAUGGGCUGUGGAAACUGGUUACUAUGACAACUCAGAAGGAAUGAAGUAAAGGUGAAUACAGAUAUAUAGAUGCAUAUCUCUGCAUUCAUUGACUCAAUGUAGUUGCAUACACUAGACUCUGAAGUACCAGCUGCCAGGACUGUGACACUGUUUGAAUUGUUGCCACAUUUAUUAAUGAAACCAUCUGUCACUGUAAGAUAAACCUGAGGGUUUUUUUUUUUGUUGUUGUUGUUGUUUUUUUUCCCCGGAAACAGCAGAGAGCAUCCAAAAAUCAACAAACCUGAGUAUUCGGUAUGACGAACUCAACACAAAUAUCCUUGCGACAGGACUCUAUUUUAUAUUACAUAACAGAGUUCAAAACACAAAAUGAAAAAAGAAAUCUUCAUUGUUGCCGCCCACAAAAUCUUUUCCAAAGUUAAAAACAUUUCAAGCAAUUGCAGGUGGUAAAAUAGAACCUUUGUCAGAGGGUACUAUUGUCUUCCUCAUCACUGUCAGAAUUUUGGAUCAAGUAGAAUCAAAUCUCAGAAGCUGAAUAUAUUGAAUGACAGUAUCUGGUACACCAAUUGAUGUGACUCAUGCUGGACAUCUCAUGUCUUUAUUGAAGGAAAAUCACUUUUCUGUAAAACUUUUCUAGAACUCUCAGCACAUUAAUGCCUCUUUCAGGUGUUUUCAAAGGCAAUGAAAGAUAUCCAUAGUCAGUGGGUGCAGCAUUCAGGAAUCUCCCCAAACAAAGAAAAAACAGUGAUAGAAAAGAGUAAUAGUGUAGUCCUUCAAAUACUAUCUAGUACCGUAUUGUUUCACUACCUUACACUACUCCAAUGCCACACUGAUGGUGAAGAAAAUAUAUAAAAAUCAAUAUCAGGUCCCUUCUGAAUUCCUUAAUAGCAUAUACUUAAUUAAAACUGCUAAAUGACCAGAGUGUUUAAAAUUACUUUGUGACUGCAAGGGUUUCUGAGAUGUUCUUGACGACACUGCAAAACUGUUAAUCAGAACAUCAAGACCAAGAGAAGAGGAGGGAGAUUUCCUGAUGAUCCAGUAGUCUGCUGAAAUCUUCAAUGUAUCAUAAUUGUAAAACAUUUGAACAGCUUUGCUGAUAGAGUCAGUAGGUAAAUUUCUUAAUGAAUAAAACAUUCACAGCCAGGUAGAAGACCUGGGAA
This is a long non-coding RNA of Numida meleagris (helmeted guineafowl), 1916 nucleotides long. The record is from Ensembl. NCBI's taxonomy places the organism in Eukaryota, Metazoa, Chordata, Aves, Galliformes, Numididae.